This 425-nucleotide ribosomal RNA is filed under the name uncultured bacterium. RNAcentral's name for it is "partial 16S ribosomal RNA". It matches the Rfam family "Bacterial small subunit ribosomal RNA", at positions 354 to 796 of the family's 1533-position model. The record is from RNAcentral.
GUUAGGAAUAUUGGACAAUGGGCGCAAGCCUGAUCCAGCCAUGCCGCGUGAGUGAUGAAGGCCUUCGGGUUGUAAAGCUCUUUAGCCGAUGAUUAUAAUGACUGUAGUCGGAAAAUAAGCCCCGGCUAACUUCGUGCCAGCAGCCGCGGUAAUACGAAGGGGGCGAGCGUUAUUCGGAAUCACUGGGCGUAAAGCGUGCGUAGGCGGCUUUGCAAGUUGGGAGUGAAAGCCAAGGGCUCAACCCUGGAAUUGCUCUCAAAACUGCAAGGCUCGAAUUCGGGAGAGGAUAGCGGAAUUGUCAGUGUAGCAGUGAAAUGCGUAGAUAUUGACAGGAACACCAGUGGCGUAAGCGGCUAUCUGGACCGAUAUUGACGCUGAGGCACGAAAGCGUGGGGAUCAAACAGGAUUAGAAACCCCGGUAGUCC